RNAcentral lists this long non-coding RNA (444 nucleotides) under Daphnia pulicaria. RNAcentral's name for it is "uncharacterized LOC124348386, transcript variant X2". The record is from RNAcentral. Lineage: Eukaryota; Metazoa; Arthropoda; Branchiopoda; Diplostraca; Daphniidae.
CAUUAGAGAAUGGAUAAAACCGGGUACCACUAUAAUAUCGGAUUGUUGGAAAUCGUAUGAUAAACCAGAGGAACACAAUGAUUACAAGCAUCUCAAGGUAAAUCAUAGGUUACAUUUAAAGAUCCAGACACUGGCGCACAUACCAAUCAGAUUGAGGGUCUUUCGAACUUAGCAAAAAAAAGUAUGCCACAAACAAAUCGUAACAAACAAAUGAUUAGUAGCUAUUUGGCAACAUUUAUGCUUCAUCAAAAAUGGCAAGGAAUCGAUGGGUUUUUAAUGUUUAUGCAAUACGCAGCAAAAUUGUAUGGAUAUGGAGUCAAGAGAUUGAACAAACUGCAUCAACAUCAACAAAGCGCGCAAAAAAUAAUUAAUUUUUUUUUUGAUUAUUCGAUUAUGUUACAAACGAAAUUUAAUUGUAAAGCCAAUAUUCUGCUGAUCAAUGUU